CAGUCGAGCGGUACAGAGAGAAGCUUGCUUCUUUGCUGACGAGCGGCGGACGGGUGAGUAAUACUUGGGAACUUGCCUCUAGGCGGGGGACAACCACUGGAAACGGUGGCUAAUACCGCAUAAUGUCUACGGACCAAAGUGGGGGACCUUCGGGCCUCACACCUAGAGAUGGGCCCAAGUGGGAUUAGCUAGUUGGUGAGGUAAAGGCUCACCGAGGCGACGAUCCCUAGCUGUUCUGAGAGGAUGAUCAGCCACACUGGGACUGAGACACGGCCCACACUCCUACGGGAGGCAGCAGUGGGGAAUAUUGCACAAUGGGCGCAAGCCUGAUGCAGCCAUGCCGCGUGUGUGAAGAAGGCCUUCGGGUUGUAAAGCACUUUCAGUGGUGAGGAAGGUCAGUAAGUUAAUAGCUUGCUGAAUUGACGUUAGCCACAGAAGAAGCACCGGCUAACUCCGUGCCAGCAGCCGCGGUAAUACGGAGGGUGCAAGCGUUAAUCGGAAUUACUGGGCGUAAAGCGUACGUACGCGGUGUGUUACGCAAGAUGUGAAAGCCCCGGGCUCAAUCUGGGAAUUGUAUUUUGAACUGCCACGCUAGAGUCCUGAAGAGGGUGGUAGAAUUUCCAGUGUAGCGGUGA
RNAcentral lists this ribosomal RNA (635 nucleotides) under Idiomarina fontislapidosi. RNAcentral describes it as "bacterial SSU rRNA". It matches the Rfam family "Bacterial small subunit ribosomal RNA", at positions 59 to 684 of the family's 1533-position model. Lineage: Bacteria; Pseudomonadati; Pseudomonadota; Gammaproteobacteria; Alteromonadales; Idiomarinaceae. The record is from RNAcentral.